GGAUUCGNAUGGGCGAAGCCUGACGCAGCAACGCCGCGUGGAGGAUGAAGGUCUUCGGAUCGUAAACUCCUGUCAGUGGGGACGAAUGCCUCGCAAGAGGUUUGACUGUACCCGCUGAGGAAGCCACGGCUAACUCCGUGCCAGCAGCCGCGGUAAUACGGAGGUGGCAAGCGUUGUUCGGAAUUACUGGGCGUAAAGGGCGCGUAGGCGGCUUGGCAAGUCAGAUGUGAAAGCCCCGGGCUUAACUCGGGAAUUGCAUCUGAAACUGCUUUGCUUGAGUCCUGGAUGGGAUAGUGGAAUUCCCAGUGUAGCGGUGAAAUGCGUAGAUAUUGGGAGGAACACCUGCGGCGAAGGCGGCUAUCUGGACAGUGACUGACGCUGAGGCGCGAAAGCUAGGGGGGCGAACGGGAUUAGAUACCCCGGUAGUCCUAGCCGUAAACGAUGGGCACUUGGUGUUGGGGGUAUUGAGUCCCUCGGUGCCGGAGUUAACACGUUAAGUGCCCCGCCUGGGGAGUACGGUCGCAAGACUGAAACUCAAAAAAAUUGACGGA
Molecule: ribosomal RNA, 551 nt
Filed under: uncultured bacterium
Lineage: Bacteria
Description: bacterial SSU rRNA
Rfam family: Bacterial small subunit ribosomal RNA
Source: RNAcentral